GAUCAUGGCUCAGGAUGAACGCUAGCUACAGGCUUAACACAUGCAAGUCGAGGGGCAGCAUGGUCUUAGCUUGCUAAGGCUGAUGGCGACCGGCGCACGGGUGAGUAACACGUAUCCAACCUGCCGUCUACUCUUGGCCAGCCUUCUGAAGGAAGAUUAAUCCAGGAUGGGAUCAUGAGUUCACAUGUCCGCCAUGAUUAAAGGUAAGUUUACGUUACGUACGAUGGGAGG
Molecule: ribosomal RNA, 231 nt
Filed under: uncultured bacterium
Lineage: Bacteria
Description: partial 16S ribosomal RNA
Rfam family: Bacterial small subunit ribosomal RNA
Source: RNAcentral